AGUCGUAACAAGGUUUCUGUAGGUGAACCUGCAGAAGGAUCAUUAGUGAAAGUUUCGGGCCUGCCAUACGGACGCAAACACGUCUCUGGCGCCCAUCACUAUAUCCAUACCAACCCCUGUGCACUGUGAUGACGAAUGUCAUCGAACAAAAAAAACUCGUAUGGUUGAAUGUACGUGAAAUUGUAGGUAUAGCCUACGAACUAUACACAACUUUCGACAACGGAUCUCUUGGUUCUCCCAUCGAUGAAGAACGCAGCGAAACGCGAUAGGUAAUGUGAAUUGCAGAAUUCCGUGAAUCAUCGAAUCUUUGAACGCACCUUGCGCUCCAUGGUAUUCCGUGGAGCAUGCCUGUUUGAGUGCCGCGAAUUCUCCCUCCCCUUACGGUGGCCGAAAGGCCGAAGUAGGGCGGACGGGGUAGGAUGGGUGUUGCUGCCUGGGGAUUGUACCAGGCUCGCCCGAAAUGCAUAAGCGCCAGGACCCUCGCUACCGCUCUCUAGGGAAGAGUGGCUAAGCGACCGCUGAGCAUGGCAUGAUACGUCAUUUGCUGUGUGUGGGCGGCCGGUUGGAGAGGUGUCUGCUUUACCAGCCCUUUUUUAAUUCUGGUCUCAAAUCAGGUAGGAUCACCCGCUGAACCUAAGCAUAUCAAUAAAGCGGAGG
Molecule: unclassified non-coding RNA, 657 nt
Filed under: Malassezia sympodialis
Lineage: Eukaryota; Fungi; Basidiomycota; Malasseziomycetes; Malasseziales; Malasseziaceae
Description: sequence contains 18S rRNA gene, ITS1, 5.8S rRNA gene, ITS2, 28S rRNA gene
Rfam family: 5.8S ribosomal RNA (bases 209-362)
Source: RNAcentral